RNAcentral lists this ribosomal RNA (253 nucleotides) under uncultured bacterium. RNAcentral describes it as "partial 16S ribosomal RNA". It matches the Rfam family "Bacterial small subunit ribosomal RNA", at positions 524 to 776 of the family's 1533-position model. The record is from RNAcentral.
UACGUAGGUGGCAAGCGUUGUCCGGAUUUACUGGGCGUAAAGAGCGCGCAGGCGGUCGUUCAAGUCGCGUGUGAAAGCCCCCGGCUCAACUGGGGAGGGUCACGCGAUACUGAUCGACUCGAAGGCAGGAGAGGGUAGUGGAAUUCCCGGUGUAGUGGUGAAAUGCGUAGAUAUCGGGAGGAACACCAGUGGCGAAAGCGGCUUCCUGGUCCAGCACCGACGUUCAGGCACGAAAGCGUGGGGAGCAAACAGG